RNAcentral lists this non-coding RNA (48 nucleotides) under Trichobilharzia regenti. The record is from RNAcentral. Lineage: Eukaryota; Metazoa; Platyhelminthes; Trematoda; Strigeidida; Schistosomatidae.
AUCCAGCUGACGAGUCCCAAAUAGUACGAAAAGCGCAUUAUCCUGGAU